AUUCGUUUAUCAGUAAUCACGUCGAAACGAAAAACAAUGGCGGAACCUUGUAGCCCUGAAACAGGCAACACCGAGGGGAAAAGCCGUGAAAACAGCUCCGAUGUGGAGGCUUUGUUGCGGUGGACAAGUUUUGAAGAAGUGGAAGAUAUCAUAAGACCCUAUCUUUCUCAAGCGAUCCACAAGGCAGUGUAUGGUGGUUUUAAAAGUGCAAGAGAAGUAUAUGUUGAUUAUAGAAUCUUUAAUCAUGCUUUUACUCAAUUGGUAGAGGGAAAGGAUAAGCUUCCGCUGGGAGGCUAUGCUAUUGAGUAUUUCUUUCACUACGCACUGACAAAAAAAAAGAGAACGGAUGCUUCGUAGGUUUGCGACCAUGUUAUCUGAUGCAUUACUUAGGAGAUUGACAAACAAUGUAUCAUCAUUCAACUGUUGGAGGACAAUAAAUCUAAGCAUCAUCUUUUGGAUACUGUGAAGUUAAGUAAUUAUUGGCGCACGAACUUGAGUAUGGUGGACAAAGAUGUUAAGAGUGAGUUAAUCAGACAAAAGGAAGAAAAGAUCGUGCUUCUUGGGACUAUUCACCACAGUCAGAAUGAGUUCCAGGAUGAUAACUUAAAGGAAAGGAAAAGUUCGAGGAGCUCAAGUGUGAAAUCUCUUGCGCGUAUAAUAACAUGGAAUUGCUAGCAAAACGUGCCACUACUUGUUAUCAGACAUUGGGGGAUUUAAAGUUUGCGAGGAAAGCCUCGAUGCUGGCAAUGGCACUCCAAACAUCCUACGUGAGGAUGAGAAGGGUCUUUCAGAGGAAACGGUACGCAUGACGGAGCUAGUUGGGAAAGAGAAGGAAAAAUACGAUAAGGCACGAGAUGUUUGUGCUGCAAAUCGGAACAAGAUUGUGGCCUCUUCUGGUCUUCUUUGAUAAGAGUAUGGUUUUGCUUUGUCUUGCACUACACCUCAACUUUAUAAACUCUUCCAAGUAUAUCUUUUAAACAUAUUUGGAACAUAGGCCAGUAUGUAUUUCUUUCUGAAUUCUGCAACUCAGUACUUUCUAGAGCUGUUCCCUGCAUGAUUUGACUAGUGAGUUUUUUGGGUGUACAAAACUUCAGUUAUCUAGGGUUACACAUU
Molecule: long non-coding RNA, 1113 nt
Organism: Papaver somniferum (opium poppy)
Lineage: Eukaryota; Viridiplantae; Streptophyta; Magnoliopsida; Ranunculales; Papaveraceae
Exons: 6
Source: RefSeq, a predicted model, not a curated record